AUUGAACGCUGGCGGCAGGCCUCCCACAUGCAAGUCGCACGAGUGGCGGACGGGUGAGUAAUGUCUGGGAAACUGCCUGAUGGAGGGGGAUCACUACUGGAAACGGUAGCUAAUACCGCAUACCAUCAGAUGUGCCCAGAUGGGAUUAGCUUGUUGGUGGGGUAACGGCUCACAAAGGCGUCGAUCCCUAGCUGGUCUGUGAGGAUGACCAGCCCAACUGGAAGUGAGACAGGGUCCAGACGCCUACGGUAGGCAGCAGUGGGGAAUAUUGCACAAUGGGCGCAAGCCUGAUGCAGCCAUGCCGCGUGUAUGAAGAAGGCCUGCGGGUUGUAAAGUACUUUCAGCGGGGAGGCGUUACCCGCAGAAGAAGCAACGGCUAACUCCGGGCCAGCCGCCGCGGUAAUUC
Molecule: ribosomal RNA, 406 nt
Filed under: uncultured bacterium
Lineage: Bacteria
Description: partial 16S ribosomal RNA
Rfam family: Bacterial small subunit ribosomal RNA
Source: RNAcentral